Molecule: ribosomal RNA, 432 nt
Filed under: uncultured bacterium
Lineage: Bacteria
Description: partial 16S ribosomal RNA
Rfam family: Bacterial small subunit ribosomal RNA
Source: RNAcentral
AACGAACGCUGGCGGCAUGCCUAACACAUGCAAGUCGAACGAGACCUUCGGGUCUAGUGGCGCACGGGUGCGUAACGCGUGGGAACCUGCCCUUAGGUUCGGAAUAACUCCCGGAAAGGGUUCUAAAUCCGGAUAAUGUUCUUCGGACAAAGAUUUAUCGCCUUUGGAUGGGCCCGCGUUGGAUUAGCUAGUUGGUAGGGUAAAAGCCUACCAAGGCGACGAUCCAUAGCUGGUCUGAGAGGAUGAUCAGCCACACUGGGACUGAGACACGGCCCAGACUCCUACGGGAGGCAGCAGUGGGGAAUAUUGGACAAUGGGCGAAAGCCUGAUCCAGCAAUGCCGCGUGAGUGAUGAAGGCCUUAGGGUUGUAAAGCUCUUUUACCCGGGAUGAUAAUGACAGUACCGGGAGAAUAAGCUCCGGCUAACUCCGUG